UACGUAGGGGGCGAGCGUUGUCCGGAUUUAUUGGGCGUAAAGAGCGUGUAGGCGGCCAGGUAGGUCUGCUGUGAAAACUCGAGGCUCAACCUCGAGACGUCGGCGGAAACCAUCUGGCUAGAGUCCGGAAGAGGAGAGUGGAAUUCCUGGUGUAGCGGUGAAAUGCGCAGAUAUCGGGAAGAACACCCGUGACGAAGGCGGCUCUCUGGAACGCAACUGACGCUGAGACGCGAAAGCGUGGGGAGCAAACAGG
Molecule: ribosomal RNA, 253 nt
Filed under: uncultured bacterium
Lineage: Bacteria
Description: partial 16S ribosomal RNA
Rfam family: Bacterial small subunit ribosomal RNA
Source: RNAcentral